AAUGAGUAGAUGUGUUUUUGUUUUUAUUUUUUAAUAUUUAGGAACAAGUGAUACUGCUCUGCAUCUCUGUAAUUUUAGUCGUGUAAUAAAGAUCUCUCCAUGUUUGGGCGGUGACAUUUCUCAUAGUUGAGUUUUAAAUGCGGAAGUUUCAACUCAAGAUUUGCUGUUGUUUAGAUUUGACUAAUUCAGUUCUGCAGGAAUGCUUUGUUGUUAAUACAUACAGUUUACUUUUCUUCCUGGAGUGCAGGGCAAUGACUGUUGUUUGAAAGUUAGUUUUUUUCAGUGAUGAAAGCCAGCAGCAAAUGGCAGUGUGCACUUCUGAUCUUUCUGUAGUUUCAUAUUACAUACCUGAAAUCAGUGUUUUUUUCAGUUUGACAGAUUACACACAGUACAAUUCUCUUUUAAGUCCAUAUAUACUCUAUAGGUGUUUUAAGAUAUUAUUUUUUUAAACUCAUACUCAUUUUAUGAUUAUUUCACAAACCAAAUGGACUCUUCUGGAAGAGGAUGCUGCCACUAGCAGCAGAUAUUUGAGUGAAACAGGAGGAGAGAGGCUGUCCCCCUUGGAAUCAGCCAUUCAAAGAUGGACUUGAAAAAACUUAGCAUGUGGUUGUGAAGUAGGUCACAGGAAAGGUUCUGGUGUCAGUUAACUUAUAAUAGCAGUGGUUAUUUAAACUGAUUGCUAGCAGAUUUUAGGGUAGUCGCAGGUAUCAGGAUUGUGACUCCCAUGUUACACAUUCACAAAUUGAGGACCAAAGGUAGAUACUGAAUUAAUUUAUGGUGCUUAUGCCAGUGUCACAGCCAUCAAUUGAACUUAAUUAAUGAUAGUGUCAGUCCUGUGCUGUCGUAUGUUACUGUUUCUUAUUCUUUCAAAUACUUUUCAUUAUGUACUCGGAAAAGAGAAACUACUUUUAAUGGUAACCUUUCGGCAUUUGCUGCAGUAUAUAGGAGUAGGAGAUACAUGUGUGCCAGGGGGAGACUGGUCAGAGUGGUUCAGAGGGCUGUGUGGGCCCAUCUAGCUUAUGUUAAACACUGCCACUGAGCUCAUGAGAAGCUUUAUACUCUGUGUUGCACAGUAGCAUGCAAUUAGCCAAUAUAAUUUAAUGUGCCCAUGUUUUCAGGUAGCUGGUGUAGAACCAGAAAGAAAUGGGUUGUUUGUACCACUGUUUGUAAAGUAUGACAUAUGUGGAACUUCUCAAAUGGUAAGAAGUGCCUAUCUUCAGAGUGGUAGCAAUAAGUUUGCUGCAAGGUUUGCAGUUUGGUCUAAAACACAAUCUAUCACUGCCAGUGAUAGAAGAACUGAAACUAAGUUGGCUAUUAAUUUCAAGUGAGUUUGGGCAUACAAGAGGGAGGAAGCAACCACUUGACAUUAAGAAGGCUCUGGUAGCUGUCUACUAUAGGGGAAUUAGCAUGGGAAGCCAUGGUAUUGGCUGUCUGUAUGUUAAUGACAUAUGGCAGUUCAUUCUGUGGAAUGCUGCAAAAAAAUGGUCAUUGUCUUUUGCCUCUGACUACAGUCCUGUGCUACAGUGUCAAGGUGAUAACAGUUUUUGACUCCUACUAUUUAUUUUCUUAGUGCUCAAGGAAGAACAGAGCUUUUUUAGUGCUUUGGGCUUGAACUUCACUGAAUGAGGCAACGGAUGCAAUGUGUCACCAACCAGCUCGCACUGUUACUGUCAUGCACUGCUGUGUCCAAAGCCUGACAGCAAACCAAGCACCUGUGGUACAAUGAAGAACUGCAGUGUUUGCUUUGGGCUGGCACUUCUUUAGUGCAGAAGUAACCUUCCAUUUUCGCAGUAGAUAUUUUUAACUUGAAAGUUGUUUUGCUGUUGCUUCAUUUUAACUUUGCAGAGAGGAGAUGCGUUGUAGGAAGGCUUGAAAAUGCCUUGGUUUGAGCUGUGAAGGUAUGACAUGUGCUGUGCUGUUCUGAGACUGAAAAAUCAGACACUCAGCUACUGGAUAGUAUCAAAGUUAACAAGUACAACGAUAACUCUGUGCCUCCUGUGUAUUUGUGAUUAUAUUUUUAGUCAUGUUGUGUGCAUUGUUUUAUUUUUUCCAGCAACACCUUUCCUUGUUUGUUGUGCAGAAUGAAAGGCAUUGAAGGUAUUUGUGUCACAAACAAGCGUGCUCUUGUUCUGCGCUGAGUCCUUUCCCCUCUCACACUGAACGCUUCAUGAGCUCUGCUGUUUGGGCUGAAAGUCUUAAUUUCUGUUCAUGGCAGUUGCUCUGAUCUCAGUGCUCCGAAUCAGUGUUUUGUUGGUAUUGGGAUGACUUUUGCAAUGUGAGGGGAGGGUAUUAUUUUUGUAAUCUCUGUGUUCCUGCCAUUUAGAAUAGUUGCUAAAGUGCAAAGUAUCCUUUGGCUGUCGUGCACUCAAAGCCAAAGCUGCAUUUUUCAUUGCCUGGUAAUGUGAAACGCUGUGUUUAAUCAGAGCUGCAUUUGAAUUUAGUCAUUAUUGUCAACAAAUAACCUCUCCUAGAUGGCAGGAUGUGUGUGUCUGUAGAACUGGAUGGAAACUUCCUUAUGUUUUUCAUUGCUUUAACUUGUCCUUUUUCAUUCUCCUGAGUUAGUCUUAACAACAGAGAACCCUUCUGUUCUGUGACUUCAUCUACAGUUGGAAUGAGCAUUAUCUUUUUGCCUGCAAAAAAAAUAAAUAAAUCAUUUAUGGGAGACCUUUAGCUCAAGAUUUCCCAGAAAUGAAAGAGAAAGUAAUUAUCUGUUUAUCUGCCCUGGCUCUGGCAGUGUACUGUGUCAGUCUCACUGGCUCUUGAGCUGUAAGCAGCAAGAUUCCUCUUGCAGCAGUCAAACUUAUCUCAAACAUCUCUUUCAGGUCCUUAAGUAGCCAUGAUGCCCAUCCGUGUGGAUCAAAUGAUGCAACUGCUUUGCCGUGUUGCUCAGGAGAAGGGAAUGACAGCAGCUGUCAAGCACUCUGGUAGAGGAGCACUCCUGGUGGGCAUAACUGCAUUUGUUGGGGGUUUGCUUGGAGGUCCGCGUGGCAUCGCUGUAGGAGGAGCUCUUGGUGGACUGCUUGGUGCCUGGAUGACCAGUGGACAGUUCAAGCCAGUCCCUCAGAUUUUAAUGGAGUUGCCUCCUGCCGAGCAGCAGAAACUCUGCAAUGAAGCCAUCGCAAUAGUCAGGAACAUAGACUGGGUUGAUGUUUUUCAGCUGACUGUACUUGUAAUGGGAAGGAGUGACCUUAAGUUUCUGCUGGCAAAAGCAGUGGAAAGGUUCUUUGUCAGAGAGCUAAAUGCACAGAUAAAGUAUGAAGAAUAAACCUUUUUGGGCCUGGUUUCUAGAUUUUCUUGAAUUUUACUUUGACAACUGUGAUUCUCUGAUGUAGCAAUUAUUUGGAUUAGGAUUGUCAUUGUAGCUUUCAUUUCUCAGCUGAUUCUGAAUAUUCUGUUUUCAUUUAAAAAAAAUCCUAAAAAGCAUCACAAUGGUCUCUGUUUUGUUUUAGAGAAAAGGAAUUGAUUGAAGAAGUGGGCACUUAGUAUCUCAGCCAAUUUUUCACUCUUUAUUUCAAGGCAAUGAGGAAACUAUUUAUUAGUUUUGACGUACAGAGUCCUUCUUGGAUGGAGGCAUGUACCUAUUUUUAGAGUGGUAGCAACAUGUUUGUGACAAGGUUUGCACACUGUUUUGAAACUGUUGAGUGCAGCCCUCUUCUAUUGUGUUAAGAUCACCACAAUUUUUGCCUUUUAGGUUUAUCAGAGGAUUUGGGCAUUAAAUAACUGUUCAGCAGAUUUGAUCGUAAAGAACUGCUCAAGAAUGCAUUAAUAUCCCUCUGUUACUCUUCUUUGGUACCGAUAUGGCUGUCUGCCACUGUAUCCCAUGGUACUGGAAACAGCUACAGGCAGGGGAGAGUAUCUAGUGAAAUCCAUCCAGUUGCAGUGUCCAGGUUAAGUAUGAGAUAGAGCCAUCGCCUAGGAAACAAGGUAAAGCAGUGCCAGCAGUUUUAGGAAGCAACUAGAAUUGUGGCUGUGGGGAGAUGUACAAACUUAUAUAAAUAAUCCAUCUGUGAUGGAUUUUAUUAUUAAUUUUGUUUGGUUGUAGAUGUGAAGAUGUGAAGAAUCAAGCUAGAUUUUCACUGGCAGGUAGUGUAUUUUUAGAUAUUUUUUUUCCUAACUGUCUGGUUUAAAAAUGGAAAGCAAACAUGAUUAUAAAUAGGUAUGUUAGCAUAGAGAGACUAUUUUUAUUUACUUGCUUUAUUAUUUAAUGGCAACCCAGAAUUCCAACAUAGAUUAGUAAUUGAGAUCUGCCAUCUAGUGGCAAGUAGAUUAAUUCUUAAAUUCAGCCUAUCAGGGCUGCCUCUGUGGAUAACACAGCUGUGUUUUUCUGUGAAAAGUUGGGGUAAAUGAAAUUGUAUUAGAUUACAAAUAUCAAUCCACCUAUAACUAGCACUCAUGUGCACUCAUUUGCAUUCCCCUGCAAAGAGGCUUUUUUAAAUGAUCAUUAUCAUAAUUGGGCUGUGACUGCACAAAUUUUUGCUGCAGCUGCAUGACAGUUUUCACUGUGGGAGAAAAUAUGUAGUCAGGAGAAGGAGGACAGUUUGUGCUUUUUGUUGUGGCAGCAUUCAGAGAUCUGCACUGCAAGGCAAGUGUUUGCUAUGAAAUCCAAAUAAGUUGCAAAGCAAUGUAGAGAUACCAAAGGCUGAUCUUGAGUUUACGGCUGGAAAUGAGAACCUCGACAGCAAUUUCAGUCUGCACACAAGGUAGAGCUAUUUUGAACCUCAAACUUGAGGUUCUGCAGGGUAUGUGCAUCCCCACAGACGAGGGUCUGGUGGCUCUUAGCUCUGAUUGUUUAGUUGCCAUGUCAGCAAUAACCUUUCACUCUGGUACGCAAAGUAACACAGAUCAGCAUCACGUUGGCAGUUUCCUAAGGACAAGUCCCUGUUCUUCCAGGAUUGCACACCUGCAGCUGUGCAGGGCUUUGCUGGUGAAGGAUAAGCACAAACCUGAGUCUCCAUCUUUCUUUCAAAUGCAACUUGUGAGCUGCUGACAGGAAGGAGUGCUGAAUAUCUGUCUGUAUAGGGCUUCUGACCUUCUGGAGGGAAAAAUAGUAGCUGCAUUUCCUCUAGAUGCAAGGUCCUUCCCUGCCUGUGCUGUAAUUACCUUCUCACUUUGAACAAAAGUGAUUUGGAGAAGAGCUGUGCUGGUUGACUUAGGGCAGCUUAAGAAAGCUGAUUAAUCUGCUAUGGCAAUAAUUUGCUGGAUGAUUUGAUCAGUAAUUCAGCUCCCCAGUGAGAUGCUUCAAGGUGAGAUGGCAGUGACAAUACCAAGCUCCUGAUGGAGGGCUGUGAGGCAUGACAAUUACCUACAGAAAAAAUGGGGUGUGAUAGUAUCAGCACUGAGUUAUUAUUUAUUAUUAUUUGACUAUUUCUUACCAUGUUUGAAAUUUCUCUAGUGGUGUGAUACCAUCUACCAUAGUCUGAUUAUAGGCCACUGUGCUCUAGCAGAACUGCAUUUCCCUUUUACAAUUUACAUUCCAGUGCUCCUUCCAUAUGUGCUUCAGUGCAUCAUGACAUGGGUGAGUUGGAAUGGCUGCUUUCUCCUACUCCUGAUAACACCCAUCUCUUUGUUAAGGAGGAAAGCUCAUGCUCCAGAGGACUCAGGUGUGCUAGGUUAGCUCUUCUUUGGAAGAGACAUUCUAUUAAAUACACGUAAUAUAAAAAGCUACUGAGUUUGUAUUUCAGAUAACAGCUAUUUGGUGACUAAACAUUAUGACUGUCUAGGUGAUGAUGGUUAAUAUGUCUUUUCUCCUUUUUAGUUGGUGUAUAGGAAAUCUGUUACGAAACUCAGAGAAAGAUCUUGUGGAAGGGAAUGGUGAUUGUAUUAUUCAAAGUCACUAAGCAAAUUGAUUUUAGACAGUCAUACUCUCAUGACAAAUCUGUUCAAAUGAUCUGACUGGGAUUGCUUGCAUUUAACAUGAAGGAUAAGUCAAAUCCUCACUUCAUCUCUUGGAUUCUUCUUUAUUGCCCAAAAAUGAAUUAUUUUUUUAAAAUCCCUUAGAAUAUCUUUGACAGUAAUUCGCUGUUGUCUUUCUGUAAGCUUUUCUGCAACCCGUUAGCCUGAGGGGCUAACAGCAGAAGGAAUGGCAUGUGUGAUUUGCUAUAACCCCUGCUAUUGUCCUUGUGUCAGAAUGCAGUGUAUCCUGUGAACAAGAUGCUUGUGCUGUGGUCUUAUCAGAGAAGGGUCUUCUGUUGGGCUCAGUAGGAACAGCACAUUCCUCAACUUGAUGAAAUGGGAUCCCUCAUUAUCAGUGUAGGCUUCUUUUUUUAUUACUAUUUUGGUGCAUUCACGUACCUAUUUCCAGCCAUACAUAAUGUAUACCAAUUUAAAUAAUUUAGUCAAAAAUUAUGCCAUUUCAUGUAGAAUUUUUUUUCUUUCCAUUUUUUGUACUGCAGCAGAUUCAAUAGCAAUAACUAGUGAAAUAUGGGCAGAUCUGUGGGGUUUAUGCUACACAGAUGCAGGGUAGGACCCACUAAAUUCUGUCUGUACUAGCAGGAUAGAAGCAACAGUACAGCCAGAUGGUGACUACUGGUAAUAUAAAAGCAAUGCAUUUUUGCCCCAGAGUAAAAGAUCUUAUGGAGAAAGCAAUAGCUUCUUAGGCUGUCAUUGCUUGGCCAGUUGAUGUAAAUUACUCAAGACUAAUUGAAUAGCAGACCUUCAUCAGAGUUGGAAAGCUUUAAAAAAAAAAAAAAAAAAUCUUCCUAUUGCAGUGAACUAAAGCUAUUAGCCCCUAAUUAACACAUGGGGUUUCAUCUUUACCUUUCUAGAGAUCACAGAAAUCUAUGUAUUUUUCAGGCUGCAAGCCAGAAAUCAAACAUUCAUUACAUAAUUGCAGUAAGUCUGAGCUAAUACUUCUCAUUAAGUAUGAUUUAUGAAUUCCAAAAGAGCCUAAGAGAUAAAUACAUAAAAAUUACUCUGAAGUCUGCAAAAAUGAAAGCAUUCAUUUCUUUGGAUGAUUGUGCAGCAAGAAUGAUUUAGGCAAACACGAACAUUUGGUAAGGACAUGGCAUUUAAAUAUCUGUACUUUUGUGAUGCUCUCAAAGUGGUGUGAUUUCAUCUAAUUUUGCUGCUGAUCUUUCAGCAAAGAUGAUGUUCUAUCCAGAGAAUCAACCAGUGCAGGCAGAAUCAGUCUCCCACGGAUCAACAUUCCCUUGGAGCUGCAGGAGAUGGGCAUCUGCCAUGAUGCAGUUUGUGAGCCAGUGGAUAAACCUAGUUUGGUUUUAGAAUUACAGGUUAAUUUUAAGCCCACCAGUAACAGAUUUUCCAAAGCCAUAAACUGAAGACUUGCUCCCUAUAGAGCUGUGAAGAAAAGAUGCAACAGCUGAAUGUGGUAGUUGGGCUUAGGACAGAUGGCGUGCAAGAGCAAAUGCUCCAGGUCUCCUCCCCAUCUCCCACGUGGAAGAGGAGCUGCAGUCCUCAUGGGCUCCCUGCAUGGCUCGUGAAUUUCCCAGAUGAUUCUCCAGAGUGGGUGCGUGCUGGAUUGGGCAUUGUGAGUCUCCACGUUUC
This is an RNA transcript of Lagopus muta (rock ptarmigan), 7503 nucleotides long. It is a transcript of the gene named chromosome 12 C19orf12 homolog, with no coding region annotated. The record is from RefSeq and is a predicted model, not a curated record. Lineage: Eukaryota; Metazoa; Chordata; Aves; Galliformes; Phasianidae. The transcript has 5 exons.